This 69-nucleotide transfer RNA is filed under the name Ophioplinthus gelida. Its description in RNAcentral is "tRNA-Asp". The record is from RNAcentral. Lineage: Eukaryota; Metazoa; Echinodermata; Ophiuroidea; Amphilepidida; Ophiuridae.
AGAAAGUUAGUUAAAUGAAUAACAUGGGUCUGUCAGUCCUACAUUGUGACCCCCUAGUCACACCUUCUU